RNAcentral lists this non-coding RNA (92 nucleotides) under uncultured Ruminococcus sp. Its description in RNAcentral is "SAM riboswitch (S box leader)". It matches the Rfam family "SAM riboswitch aptamer (S box leader)". Rfam says of the family: The SAM riboswitch is found upstream of a number of genes which code for proteins involved in methionine or cysteine biosynthesis in Gram-positive bacteria. The SAM riboswitch acts at the level of transcription termination control. Lineage: Bacteria; Bacillati; Bacillota; Clostridia; Eubacteriales; Oscillospiraceae. The record is from RNAcentral.
CUUAUCAAGAGAGACUGAGGGACAGGCCCUGUGAAGUCCGGCAACCUGCGAUAUGUAAGGUGCCAAAUCCUGCGGCUUGACCGACAGAUGAG